GUGCUUGCUUCAGCAGCCUGUAUACUAAAAUUGAAACAAUACAGAGAUUAUCAUGGCCCCUGCUCAAGGAAGACAUGCAAAUUCAUGAAGCGUUGGGUACUUUU
This is a small nuclear RNA of Capra hircus (goat), 104 nucleotides long. The record is from Ensembl. NCBI's taxonomy places the organism in Eukaryota, Metazoa, Chordata, Mammalia, Artiodactyla, Bovidae.